GAGUUUGAUCCUGGCUCAGGAUGAACGCUGGCGGCGUGCCUAAUACAUGCAAGUCGAACGCACAGCGAAAGGUGCUUGCACCUUUCAAGUGAGUGGCGAACGGGUGAGUAACACGUGGAUAACCUACCUCAAGGUUGGGGAUAACAUUUGGAAACAGAUGCUAAUACCGAAUAAAACUUAGUAUCGCAUGAUACCAGGUUAAAAGGCGCUACGGCGUCACCUAGAGAUGGAUCCGCGGUGCAUUAGUUAGUUGGUGGGGUAAAGGCUUACCAAGACAAUGAUGCAUAGCCGAGUUGAGAGACUGAUCGGCCACAUUGGGACUGAGACACGGCCCAAACUCCUACGGGAGGCUGCAGUAGGGAAUCUUCCACAAUGGGCGAAAGCCUGAUGGAGCAACGCCGCGUGUGUGAUGAAGGCUUUCGGGUCGUAAAGCACUGUUGUAUGGGAAGAACAGCUAGAGUAGGGAAUGACUUUAGUUUGACGGUACCAUACCAGAAAGGGACGGCUAAAUACGUGCCAGCAGCCGCGGUAAU
Molecule: ribosomal RNA, 533 nt
Filed under: uncultured bacterium
Lineage: Bacteria
Description: bacterial SSU rRNA
Rfam family: Bacterial small subunit ribosomal RNA
Source: RNAcentral